CCCGGGCGGCGGACUGAAUCCUUUGCAGACGACUUAAAUACGCGACGGGGUAUUGUAAGUGGCAGAGUGGCCUUGCUGCCACGAUCCACUGAGAUUCAGCCCUUCGUCGCUCCGAUUCGU
This 120-nucleotide non-coding RNA is filed under the name Ricinus communis (castor bean). RNAcentral's name for it is "Eukaryotic large subunit ribosomal RNA". It matches the Rfam family "Eukaryotic large subunit ribosomal RNA", at positions 3283 to 3401 of the family's 3401-position model. Lineage: Eukaryota; Viridiplantae; Streptophyta; Magnoliopsida; Malpighiales; Euphorbiaceae. The record is from Rfam by way of RNAcentral.